This 485-nucleotide ribosomal RNA is filed under the name uncultured bacterium. RNAcentral describes it as "partial 16S ribosomal RNA". It matches the Rfam family "Bacterial small subunit ribosomal RNA", at positions 28 to 523 of the family's 1533-position model. The record is from RNAcentral.
GACGAACGCUGGCGGCGUGCUUAACACAUGCAAGUCGAACGGUGAAAGCGGAGCUUGCUCCGCUGGAUCAGUGGCGAACGGGUGAGUAACACGUGGGCAACCUGCCCCUCACUUCGGGAUAACUCCGGGAAACCGGGGCUAAUACCGGAUAUGACCUCCUUGGGCAUCCUUGGAGGUGGAAAGUUUUUCGGUGAGGGAUGGGCCCGCGGCCUAACCGCUGGUUGGUGAGGUAGUGGCUCACCACGGCGACGACGGGUAGCCGGCCUGAGGGGGCGGCCGGGCACACUGGGACGGGGACACGGCCCAGACGCCUACGGGGGGCAGCAGUGGGGAAUAUUGCGCAAUGGGCGAAAGCCUGACGGAGCAGCGCCGCGUGCGGGAUGACGGCCUUCGGGUUGUAGACCGCUUUCAGCAGGGAAGAAGCCGCAAGGUGACGGUACCUGCAGAAGAAGCACCGGCUAACUACGUGCCAGCCGCCGCGGUAA